This 449-nucleotide ribosomal RNA is filed under the name uncultured bacterium. Its description in RNAcentral is "partial 16S ribosomal RNA". It matches the Rfam family "Bacterial small subunit ribosomal RNA", at positions 354 to 796 of the family's 1533-position model. The record is from RNAcentral.
GUGGGGAAUAUUGGACAAUGGGGGCAACCCUGAUGGAGCGACGCCGCGUGGAGGAUAAGGUCUUCGGAUUGUAAACUCCUGUCAUGCGUGAACAAGGUUGCUUGGUUAAUACCUGGGCAAAUUGAUGGUAACGCAAGAGGAAGAGACGGCUAACUCUGUGCCAGCAGCCGCGGUAAUACAGAGGUCUCAAGCGUUGUUCGGAAUCACUGGGCGUAAAGGGUGCGUAGGUGGCGUGGUAAGUCAGAUGUGAAAGCCCGGGGCUCAACCUCGGAACUGCAUCCGAUACUGCCAUGCUAGAGUACUGGAGAGGUGACUAGAAUUCUCGGUGUAGCAGUGAAAUGCGUAGAUAUCGAGAGGAAUACCAAAGGCGUAGGCAGGUCACUGGACAGUUACUGACACUGAGGCACGAAGGCCAGGGGAGCGAACGGGAUUAGAAACCCGUGUAGUCC